CUGGCUCAGGACGAACGCUGGCGGCGUGCUUAACACAUGCAAGUCGAGCGGAAAGGCCACUUCGGUGGUACUCGAGCGGCGAACGGGUGAGUAACACGUGAGUAAUCUGCCCUCCACUUUGGGAUAGCCACCGGAAACGGUGAUUAAUACCGGAUAUGACCUUGGCCCGCAUGGGUUGUGGUGGAAAGUUUUUCGGUGGGGGAUGUGCUCGCGGCCUAUCAGCUUGAUGGUGGGGUAAUGGCCUACCAUGGCUUCGACGGGUAGCCGGCCUGAGAGGGUGACCGGCCACACUGGGACUGAGACACGGCCCAGACUCCUACGGGAGGCAGCAGUGGGGAAUAUUGGACAAUGGGCGGAAGCCUGAUCCAGCAACGCCGCGUGAGGGAUGACGGCCUUCGGGUUGUAAACCUCUUUCAGCACAGACGAAGCGAAAGUGACGGUA
RNAcentral lists this ribosomal RNA (442 nucleotides) under Nocardioides sp. R-39601. RNAcentral's name for it is "bacterial SSU rRNA". It matches the Rfam family "Bacterial small subunit ribosomal RNA", at positions 19 to 477 of the family's 1533-position model. Lineage: Bacteria; Bacillati; Actinomycetota; Actinomycetes; Propionibacteriales; Nocardioidaceae. The record is from RNAcentral.